Long non-coding RNA from Esox lucius (northern pike), 3041 nucleotides. The record is from Ensembl. Lineage: Eukaryota; Metazoa; Chordata; Actinopteri; Esociformes; Esocidae.
GUUUAAUAAUGUUUGAUUCCACCAGUAGGUGGUGAUACAUAGUUUAAUUUAAAAGCAAAGCCAUGGCGAGUUAUACAAAUCUUUGACCAAUCCAUUCACAAAAUAUAUACUGAACAAAAAUCUAAAUGCAACACGUAUAUUUUUGGUCAUAUUAUUUAUAAGCUGAGAAAGAAUAUAACGAAAUAUUCCAUAACACAGAAAAUAUCCCUCAAAUGUUGUGCACAAAUUGGUUUGUUCAGUGUACAAAAAUGUCAUAUCAUCCCUCAUUUGUGGGUUCUAGAUGAGCUGACAUUUCAAAGAUGUUCAGCUUGAUAUGUUUUACUUUUAUUUAAAAUCAGAACAGCAUAUACUGCAUGAAUCUCUUUAUUGUAAUAAGUGUAAACAUAAUUGCAAAUGGCUUAUGAAUGGUCAUGCAAAGCAAACCCUCAAAUAAUUUUUGUGUUUAAAUGUGUAUACCCUAUGUAUAUAGUUUGUCUUGUUUUUGUACACUGCAAUAUAAGAUUUUAAAACCAUUAUGCAAUGUGUGAAAUGACUCAUUAACUUGUUACUAGUCAAUUGCUUCAAAUUUACAAAACAUAUGCAGACUCUUCAACAUGUACAGGGGAAAGGCUAUAAACAAAGCAGGUUUGUUUAGUAUGCGAUUGCAGUUUCGCAAAAGAGCAAAAACUUACACUGGAAAGUUUAAUAAUGUAUUCAUCUCACAAGAAUACAACAUCUCAUAUAGGCCAUAGUGAAUAAUGGUGAAUAAAAAAAUAUGAUGGUACAUACUAAAAUGUUACUGCCUACCUAUGCUAAAAUCAUUACACAUACUUUGAGCUAUGCCACAUUUACAGUUUACAUCAUUCACUUCAAUCGUAAUUCUUUAAACAACUGUUAAAAAUGUAUUCCGGUGUUCAGCUAAGGCCCUGCAUAAGAAGUCAUUUGGUGCCAUCUUCUUUCAAUAUUCAAAGUCAGCAACAGUGCUUCAAUAGCAAUCAUACUGUGAUGAUACAUAUAUUAUACAUACACAGUACCAGUCAAAAGUUUGAACACAUCCACUUGACUGUGUAAAUACUCGGGUCGGCUCCAGACAUAUGCGACAGAAGCGGUCACUUAGGGCCCCCAACCACUAGGGGUCCUCCAACUGCUAGGGAGCCCCCAAACGUAAGGGGAAGGGGCCCAAAAUAAAACAUUUCUAUGGGCCCCCAAAAGGCUAGAGUUGGCAUUGUACAUACUUGUACUACUGUAUAUAAAACAGCAUUAAAACCCAAUCUAUUAUCUGAUUCCCCAGUCUUUAUAUAUAAUGCCCACUUUCCUGUGUUGCUGUAAGUGCCUCCUUGCCACCCUCUUGCAGUGGCAUGUUCACGUACUCCUCCUCCCUGGAAAGAGGAGCCUCAGAAUCAGCCUGUGAGGAACCUGUGGGGGUGCUGCUCGUAGGGGUGGAGCACAGCCCGUUUCCAAUGUUCACAGGAUAGUUAACGGUGAUGUUGACAUUAACCAGGGGGCUGGAUGGCAGGGAGCUGUUUGAUUGGCAGUUGCUGGGCUGGGGGGUGCUGACCAGGGUGCUGGGCUGUUGGAGGCUGGACUGGAGGGUGCUAGGCUGUUGGAGGCUGGACUGGAGGGUGCUAGGUUGUUGGAGGCUGGACUGGAGGGUGCUAGGCUGGGGGGUGUUGACCGGGGUGCCAGGCUGUUGGAAGGUGGACUGGAGGGUGCUAGGUUGUUGGAGGCUGGACUGGAGGGUGCUAGGCUGUUGGAGGGUGGACUGGAAGAUGCUGGGCUGUUGAAGUGGAGACAGGGGGUCUACUGACAGGCCCUCCAGGCUGUUGAAGCACCCUGAUCCCAUUGUAGUGCCCUGCAGGGUCUCUGGCUGACUGGCCUCGUUGCUGCCUCCCAGAAGAAACGUCUUUUCCUGACAGAUGGUUUUGAUUGAACUGUUGCAAACAACUAAUGGCCCAUCACUAUCAAACUGAGAGAGAGCGAGAGAGACAGAGAGAGAAAUAAUUUGUUCAAGUUCAAGGAAUCAAAAUGUUCUUGUUCUUAGAUGUCAAAACAUAACUCACUUUAAUUACUGCCUUCUCAGAAUUCUCUUCUGUAGCUCGUCUGAACUGGAUGAUGGCUAUAAGAGAACAAUAAACAAUUCAUGCCCAGAUCUGCAAUAAAAUCUGGGUUUUUACAAUCAAGAUCUGAUCCGUACAGCUUUACCUUUCUUGCAAAGGACCAUGCCUAAGACCAGCAAGAAAAAACCUGUCAUUACUCCAGCAACUGGUGGGGGGACAACAACAUAGACAUGUUAGUAGGGAGACUGAAGCAGAGGAACAUUCAAAACAGGAGUGUGACUCAUGGACCACAUCUAGUAGCUCUCUGGAUUUACCCAUCCAUGGGUCAAAGCCUGGUGAUUUGCCUUCUGUCGAAGCGACGACCAGCCAGUCAGUGGAUGCCAGCUUUGGGACUAGUUUGGUUGGUAGAGUAGACAGGCUCUGCAGACUUGGCUGGGUGUGCCCCCUACCAGACGGCAGCGUUGUCAACUGUGGCCGUGAAGGUGUGGUGGUUUUCGGUGAUUCAUUUAUCUUCAGUCCACAUAUCACAUUUGAGCUGGCAUUACCGUAAGUCAGUAUGGGCCUUCCCUGAGACUUGCAGCUGUGGAGACAGUGUCAGUCUAAUUGUUACAAAAAACAAGAACUGUGUGUGUUUGUGUGUCUGAGAGAGAGAUCCAGGUUUAUGUGUAAAGGUGAGGUCCAAACGUACCCGCAAAGAUAGUAAAACUUGACAAAUCGGCCCUGAGAAGGUCCACAAUACAAUAGAAAGAGAAAUGUAUGUGUUUGUGUGGGUCUGCACGAAUGUGAUUGACUCACUCUGUGUAGGGCUGACAUGCCUGGGUGUAGGAGUGUUGGUCUGAGAAGGUUCCGUUGGGGCAGGUUUCACAUUUCACAUCUGAAUCUGCUGUCCCUGAAACACCACAAGACAUCAUCAUGUAAAUUCUCAGAGUCAAUUGUAACAUUCACCUUUUCACGAUAAUAUAAGCUUUACUUGUUGGUUAUGAAAAUACAGUACACAUGUUAACA